GUGUCAGCAGCCGCGGUAAGACAGAGGAGGCUAGCGUUGUUCGGAAUCACUGGGCUUAAAGCGGGUGUAGGCGGCCUGGCAAGUGUCGUGUGAAAGCCCCCGGCUCAACCGGGGAAUUGCAUGGCAAACUGCCAGGCUUGAGGUCGGUAGGGGUGCCUGGAACUCUCGGUGGAGCGGUGAAAUGCGUAGAUAUCGAGAGGAACGCCGGAGGCGAAAGCGGGGCACUGGGCCGAUUCUGACGCUGAGACCCGAAAGCGUGGGGAGCAAACAGGAUUAGAUACCCUGGUAGGCCACGCCGUAAACGAUGAGAACUAGGUGUAGCGGGUAUUGACCCCUGCUGUGCCGAAGCUAACGCAUUAAGUGCCCCGCCUGGGGAGUACGGUCGCAAGGCUGAAACUUAAAUGAAUUGACGGGG
RNAcentral lists this ribosomal RNA (415 nucleotides) under uncultured prokaryote. RNAcentral's name for it is "bacterial SSU rRNA". It matches the Rfam family "Bacterial small subunit ribosomal RNA", at positions 505 to 918 of the family's 1533-position model. The record is from RNAcentral.